This 229-nucleotide ribosomal RNA is filed under the name uncultured bacterium. RNAcentral's name for it is "partial 16S ribosomal RNA". It matches the Rfam family "Bacterial small subunit ribosomal RNA", at positions 568 to 796 of the family's 1533-position model. The record is from RNAcentral.
UCCGUAGGCGGGCAAUUAAGUCAGAGGUGAGAUCCCACAGCUCAACUGUGGAACUGCCUUUGAUACUGGUUGUCUUGAGUUACAGUGAAGUAGAUAGAAUAUGUAGUGUAGCGGUGAAAUGCAUAGAUAUUACAUAGAAUACCGAUUGCGAAGGCAGUCUACUAACUGUAUACUGACGCUAAUGGACGAAAGCGUGGGGAGCGAACAGGAUUAGAUACCCUGGUAGUCC